Molecule: ribosomal RNA, 459 nt
Filed under: uncultured bacterium
Lineage: Bacteria
Description: SSU rRNA
Rfam family: Bacterial small subunit ribosomal RNA
Source: RNAcentral
AGAAUCAACGCUGGCGGCGUGCCUAACACAUGCAAGUCGAACGAGAAAGUGGAGCAAUCCAUUAGUAAAGUGGCGCACGGGUGAGUAACACGUGACUAACCUACCUUUUAGUGGGGGAUAACCUAGGGAAACCUGGACUAAUACCGCAUAAUACCCACGGGUCAAAGCAGCAAUGCGCUGAAAGAGGGGGUCGCGGUCGAUUAGUUAGUUGGCAGGGUAAUGGCCUACCAAGACUGUGAUCGAUAUCCGGCCUGAGAGGGCGCACGGACACACUGGAACUGAAACACGGUCCAGACUCCUACGGGAGGCAGCAGUGGGAAUUUUGCGCAAUGGGGGAAACCCUGACGCAGCAACGCCGCGUGGAGGAUGAAGUCCCUUGGGACGUAAACUCCUUUCGAUCGGGACGAUAAUGACGGUACCGGAAGAAGAAGCCCCGGCUAACUUCGUGCCAGCAGCCGC